RNA transcript from Capsicum annuum, 2266 nucleotides. It is a transcript of the gene named type IV inositol polyphosphate 5-phosphatase 6, with no coding region annotated. Lineage: Eukaryota; Viridiplantae; Streptophyta; Magnoliopsida; Solanales; Solanaceae. The transcript is spliced from 15 exons. The record is from RefSeq and is a predicted model, not a curated record.
AUAUAUAGGGUCAAAGUGGUAAUUUCAUUUAUCAGUUAACUAUAUCAGCAGAGAACUCUGAAAAGAUUUCACUCUCUGGAGUAGCCCUUCAAAUUGUUUAGUCACUAUAGCUAUCCAACUCGAAUGAAUCUGCUAGAGCUACUGCUGAAAUCUAACACUAUACGGUCAAGAUUUGAGUCAACAAAGGAGGAGGAUUGGUCUAUGUGAUUUCAACUCAUUCAGAAACUUCGAGCUAUGGUUGAAAGCAUAGAAAUCCUGAGAGUUUCUACUCUUUGACCACGGCCAACUGUAGAGCCAUUUGGAUCUUUUGUAUCAAACCUUUUCAAAAGAUGGGGAGAUCUUGAUAUUUUUAUGGAGUUGCCCAAUGGAUCAUAUUCUGCUGGGAAGAAGCACAAACUAAGUCUACUAGGGGAUGUUCUAAAAGCUCUGAGAGCUAAAGCUAAAGUGUAUGUUUUUAGUGAAGAUGAAGUUGACACCGAAACAAAGAGUGAGGAUAAUGCUUGCUCACUCAAAGAUGAAAGAAUGGCUGAAGAUCAUGGACAUGGAAAACUAGGGAAGCUUAAUGAAUGCUAAACUCAAACUACAUCUUGCUCACUCAAAGAUGAAAGAAUGGUUGAAGAUCACGGACAUGGAAAACUGGGGAAGCUUAAUGAAUGCCAGACUCAAACUAGAAUGCCAGACUCAAACUACACGUAGGAACCUACAGCUGAGUAUAUCCCGAGACACAGGAGAGGAAAAUUAGAAACUUUGAGAACUCAAUAUAUUAACACGAAAGAAGUGAGAGUUACCAUCGACACUUGGAAUAUGGCGGGAAGACUUCCAAAUGAGGAUCUAGAAAUUGAUGAGUGGCUUUUUAUGCAAGAACCAGCAGACAUCUAUAUUCUUGCCUAUGCACAAUGAUUUUAGGCACUUGUCAAUUGACUGUGUGGCAGCUUUCCUGUUAUUCUUAGCUCAUGUGCAAUCCAUUGUGUAAUUUCAAGAGGUGGGCCCUUUGAAUGCUGAAAAUGUACUAGGAGCAGAAAAUAGAAGGCCAGUUCCAAAAUGGGAGGCAAUCAUCCGAAGAACGUUAAAUAGGAUGGAGGAACCUGAGACUAAGCUCAAGAGUUAUAGUGCUCCGCCCUCUCCAGUUUUAAGGACUUCUCUGCUUCUGGCAUAAUUGCGGAUGUGGUUGAUGCUCCUGCAAUGGAUAUAAUCGAAAAGGCAUCCCUCGAUGUACCUUUGGUUUAGAAAGGAUUAGAUGAAGAUAAGAUCUUUGUUUCUGGCCAAAAGUGAUAUAUCUCGACUUCAGGUUCUUUUUGGGUCUAAUGUGACUAUAGUUGUACAAGAUCCAUCGUAUCCGGAUUAUAUGGAUUCAAGUGUUAUUAUGGGCCAAACUGCUCAAUUUCAGAAGGAUAUGGAGAAGCAUGGAAAUAUUGCAUACAUGAGAUGUACUCCAAAAAACGGGUUCUUUCCUGAUUUAUAUAUGUGAUGACAGUCCAAAGUCCAUCUUUGAGAUUCCUGGAGCCAAAGAGGCUAGUACGACGCAGCGCUAUCGCGUCGUGUCUCUGAGAAAUGACAACUGAGAAAUUUCAUGGUGGCGCGAUGCGGUGAAAUCACGUUGCAAUACUGGAAAAGGACAAUUUUGAAUUUGAGCCUUGGCGCGACGCGCCAUAAUCACGGAGGCUCACUGGAUUUUGACGAUUGCCAUUUUGGCAUGCUCCGCGACGCAUUGAUAGCUCAGGUUUCUAGAUUUCAAGAUUAUUAGCCUUCUCAAGGUAAAAAACAAGACUGAAAGAAUAAGGUGCUUCUAGAUGGAUCGACUUCAUAUGUUAGAGGUAUUACGUGUCAGGUUAUUGUGAAGACAGGCAUAAAAAGUAUAAUAAUUUUGUGAAUGCAGUUUUGGACCGAUUUUGCAUUGGUCCUUCAGAUAUCAUCUUGCAUUUUACUGUGAAGCUCGAUUGUGAAGCUCGAUACGGCUCAACUGAUGGAGCUGAGAGCCCAAGAAGAUUAAUGUGUCGGCCUUAUUGGAUGCAUCUUGGAGCAUAGGCAUACUCCACAAAUAUCACGUAUCGUAGCAUCGUCACUAAUGGAGAUAGCCGCUUCACUUCUCAUCAUGAUCAUGAUCACGAUGUGUCUAUAUUAUUUAGAUAGCAUGAUAUGACAAUUUAUUUUUGACCAUUUCAGAAAGAAAGAAAUCUUUUGCAACAUCUGUAGCUAUUGGAUCAAGAGAAAUAUCGAAAGUUGCUACUGAUAAAUUUACUUGAAUGUUCAACUCAUCAGAGUUAAA